UGUUUUGUUUCUAUCAUUAUUACAGGAUGAGCUGAACUGCGUGUGAGACCAGUGUGUCGGAGCUAGCCAAAUCCUUACAAUCAUUUAGCCCAGGUUACUAAUAUCGUACUGUGGAAUCUGAAGCCUCAGGUCAUGUACCAAGUUGGGGUGAGAAGCAGCGAGAGGCUCUGCACAGCUGGUAAGUACAGAACAUGCUGGACCCAGCUGCUCUUCUGGACCUCUGGAGGCACCAGCAUAAUGGAGUUGGUUACAUGGGUUCGUUCUGCAUCGCUGAGGCUGGUACAAUUCUGCAUGUGGACUUUGCAAAUGAAUAACCAGGCUCUUGACCAGUUCUAGCUACAAGCCCACAUGUGGGAUGGAGGUGGAUGGAGUAAUCUCUACACCCAAUGCGGAGCUUGAACUCACCAUUGAGAUCUAGAGUCGCACCCUCCACUGACUGAGCCAACCUGAUGCCCCAAGAAUAUGAGUAUUUCUAAGGCUCUUGUAAGGACUGGAUUAUGAGUUAUUGGGAAGAAAACUACAGACAUUUUCACCACAUCCGAGGGACUAUUCAGCUACUCCAACUUAUAAAGUACUACUCUAGAAUGAAUUUCAAAAUACUCACAAGUAAGAUGGAGAUCAAGAACAUCCUAAGAGCACCCUUAGCUUAGCCAGAACAUAGGAGAUCCAGGAAGUUCUUCUGGCCAUGGAGUCAUGCUCAACAAACCACCUAGCCUCACUAGACAAGUUUUUCCUCUGUAGAUUGGAACAAUGACACCAUUUAAAAAGUGAAACAUGAUACCUUGAGUCAAUAGAGUCAAGAAUAAAAAUAAUUCCCUAUGAAUUCAAUUAAUGUUAUUAACUGUGAACACACUUUGAGAUGCAAGUCAAAAUACUGAACGGAAAUGAAGUGCUUUGAGCCGGUUUAUUUCAUAGAGAAAGGAAUUAUGAUACCCCGACUCAGGAGAUGGAAAGCUUCUGACAGCACAGAUGUGUGAUCUCACUCAGUAAGUUCAUUAGCUUCAGAACAAGUAUGGUUUUGGCUCUGUCAUUCUCUCUUUUUUUUUUUUUUUUUGUUUGUUUGUUUUUUUGUUUUGUUUUGUUUUUCUGUCAUUCUCUCUUGUUGAAAUAGUUAAGAACAGGCAAGUGAGACAAGAUGGUUUUUGUAGAAAGAGAGUUUCAUUCCUUUAAAGGAAGGCUUAACACAUGGGUGGCUCAACACAUACCUGAGGAAGUUACCCAAGGCUAGCAAAGCACAUCUGAACGUCUUAGAAGGAGCAAAGUCAAAAGCUCAUAGUCCGGGAAUAUUUUGUGUCCUCCCCAGUAAGAAUGAAAAACCUCAGAAUUCAUAAGCCAUUAGGUACAGUACUCAGAGGAAGCUGGUCACAGCAGUGGGACAAAACAAGACCUAGAAUUCAUGCUGCUCCAGUCCAACAAAGCAUUGAAACAAGAUUUCUUUUUUUUUUUUUUUAAGAUUUUAUUUAUUUAUUCAUGAGAGACACAUUGAGAGAGGCAGAGACAGACAAAGAGAGAAUCAGGCUCCUUGCAGGGAACCUGAGGCAGGACUUGAUUCCAGGAUCCUGGGAUCACAAACUGAGCCAAAGGCAGAUGCUCAAUCACUGAGCCAGCCACCCAGGCAUCCCUGAAACAAGAUUUCAAAGGAUUAAACUGUCUCUUAGUAACUUCACUUCCCUCUGAUAAUAAAGCCCCCAUAUACUAUAGCUAUUCACCUAGUGGCCAACAGUGGAAUCAGGUUAUAGAUCUAGAAAUAGAUCAAAUUAGGCAUAAACAAACAUUAACAGAAGAUGUAGGAAGAGUCAUGCUAUGUAUUCCAAAAGGCACCUGGUCGAAACCAAUCAUAUCAAUGGACAAUCUUGUGUUAGUAAAUCAUGACCAUGAAGAAGAUGUCUGACCAUGAAGAACUGUCUCCCUUAUGUUGGAAAAGCCCUACCUAAAUGUCAGGGAGCCAUUCCUCAGUCAAUACUGAGAGUGAGCUGAGACACGAGAGUGGGCUGUGGAAGAGAAGGCGUGUGGAGGAAUCGAAAAGGCUGGUACUAGCAGAUGACAGGGCAACUCUGGGAUGGGGAGAUGAAAGGGACCAUCAGCUUCAGAGCGAUUUCCAGAGGAAGAGCCUAGAGUAGGCAAGGGAGACGGUGACUAGCCCUCCCUAAUCCAGAAUCUUUUGUUUGGCCAUUUCUUGAGACUUCUCUUGAAAGGUGGGAAGAGUUAUGUAAGUAUGCUCAGAAUUCCCUGAUGAUUAUUGCAGAAAUGAAGGAGGAGUCAUAGAGAAUUCCUGUCAACAGGAAAGUUAAUUUGGCUUUCCAGGAACUCCAGACCCUGGCUACAACUUUAGUCUGACCCUGUAGGGUCUUGGUGACCUUGGCUGUUAAAACUGAGUGAAAAUGGUAGACAAUCUGGUUAGACUUUGGCUGAACUGAACAAUUGUAAGAAAAAUGAAAAUUCAGAUUUGAGGGUUUAAUCCAGGGUUUAUUGAGGGUUCUCCAGAGAAAUAGGACCAAUAGGUUAUAUAUAUUAUAUAAAUAUAACAUUGUGUGUAUGUGUAUAUAAAGUAAGGAAUUAGCUCAUGCAGUUAUGGAGGAUGAGAAGUCUCAAGAUAUACAAUCAGUUCUUUGGAGACUCAGGAAAGUCAAUGUGUAGUUCCAGCUCGAAUCUGAAGGCCUGAGGACCAGAGACGCUGAUGGUGUGUCUCCAGUCCCAAAGUCUCAGGACCCAAGAAGAGCCAAUGUUUCACUUCCAGUGUCAAGACUGGAAAAGUCUGAUUUCCCAGCCCAGCAGUGAGAUGGGAAGAGCUCGCUCUUACUGAGCUUCUUUGUUCUAUUCAGGUCUCCAGUCGAUUGGCUGAUAAGCAACCAUACUGGAAAGGGAACUCUGUUCUCCUCAGUCUUCCAAUUAGAGUAUUAAGCUCAUUUGAAAACACCCUCACAGACACGCCCAGAAAAAUGCCUGGCCAAAUGGCUGUUACCCUGCAGCCUAGUCUUGUUGGCACAUCAGAUUAACCAUUACAUUCAGCAACUGAUAUGCAGUAAGCUCCGGGAAAGAGUGUGCAAAGAACAUGUGACUAGAGUCAAAAGUCUGUUGUGGGGAAUUUUGUUCCCGGCAGUGUGACUUAGUAGAAACUAAACUUAACUCAUUCAGUCUUCAAACAGAUAAAACCAAUUCUCAGAGAAAGGGCAAUUGAAGAGAGCGGGCAUAGGUUGAAGAGGAAAGGAAAAGGAAGCCAGAAGCAAGGAAGAAAAUGGCGGAAAUAGUGAAAAGAAAGCAGAAGUUGUAGAACAGUAGAAAGAAAGGACCAAAGAGUGAAAGCUACAGGUUUCUUUUAAAAUGAGCACUUUGGGGGAUCAAGCCAGAAAAUAUUGUCAAUGCUGGGUUUUCCAGAGUUGUUGUUGGCAUCAUGGCACAUUCCUAGUUAUUUGCGGUGUCCUUCUGCGCUCUCUGAUAUGUUAGGAGGGAAAACAAUUCUAAGGGUUUUUGAUGAUCUUUGGUUGGUAUUUUGUGAGCUCCCUGAGGUCUGUACCAGCAUUAAAAGUGUCAGCUGAGAAACUGGAUGGCAUAAUGAAAACCCGGUGUAUGGUAUGUAGCAGUGGCCGGAUGGAUACCAGGAGAGCUUCACGGGCAGCACUCAAACUCCCAGUCUCCACGUUAGAAUUUUAGGGGUCGUUUUCCAUUCUAUCCCAUGAAACCUGUGGAUGAAAAAUUUUCUUGGUCGCUUCCCAGAUCAUCCACUUGGUAAUUCUGCUUCUGUCCAUAUUGUGUUUGUUAUACAACAGCUGUCUAGAUUACCAACUCAUUGGUAUCUCUGAGCAGAGUCAUUUCCAUGGUGAUACUAAAACUUACCUUUAGAGAUGUUACUAACCCUCACCUUUUUAGAGUGCCCCUUAAGGGCAAUUAAACAGAAGUUUGUUCCCUGGCCAACUCAACACACUUGAGUCAAUGUGUAAUGGCAAUUCUCCCUCCUGCACCCUUUAUAUAUGAUUUUUAUCAGUAAUGUUGGAUUAGUUGAGAUGAGCACUUAGCAACAUGAAGUCUCAUGGAAAAUUAUUUCCUUAAUUCUAAGUAAUAUUGCUGCUUGCCACGUUCAUGAAGGAGUCCAGCCAGAUAGGAAGGGUCUCCAAAAACAGGCAUCACCUCCUUUGGGAAGCAUGUCCUACCUGACUUACUGUCAUCAUCACCACAUGGCUGCUUAGCAAUCGCUUUCUUAGGCUCUCACUGCUCUCUGGGCAAAUCCAAGGAACAUUGCUUUUCUUUUUUUUAAUAUUUUAUUUAUUUAUUUAUUCAUGAGAGACAGAGAGAGAGAGAGAGAGAGAGAGGGAGGCAGAAACACAGGCAGAGGUUGAAGCAAGCUCCAUGAAGGGAGCCUGAUGUGGGACUCGAUCCUGGGACUCGAGGAUCACACCCUGGGCCAAAGGCAGACGCUAAACCGUUGAGCCACCCAGGGAUCCCAGAACACUGCUUUUCACGAUGUAUUAUAAACAUUGUUUUUUACUUGCCUUCUUCCUCACUGUACUGAAAACUCCUCUUAGUCAAAAACCAUGCUUAAUUAUCAUUGAUAUCUUCAAUUUCUAACAAGAUUGUUAGCCCACAGUAGAGUAAAUAAAUGAAUCAGUGAAUGAAUAUGUUGCCAAUAAAAAUGGAGAAAAGGGGUUGAAUUCAAGAGAAAAUUAGAAAUUUGACUUUGUGACUGAGUCUGAUGAGAGUAGGAGGGAAGUAGAUGGCUCUCUAGCUUUAGUAACGGGGUGGUUGUUAGAAUCAUUUUUAAUAAAGUUAUAAAAAUUUGUUUUGUUUUGGUAGGAGAACAUACAAGUAUAGUGGUAUUUAUUUUUAACUUUUUUUUUUAAGUAGCCCCACUCAGUGUGGGGCUUGAACUCACAAUCCUGAGAUGAAGAGUCACAUGUUCUACUGAUUGAGUCAGCCAGGCGUCCCAGAAGUAUGACAGUGUUUUGUACUGGUCUCAGCCUAUUAGUAACCUAUGUGGCUGGACCAGUCCUUGUGGUUCUUAUGAUUGUUCUUAUGAUGACACCCUUCAGCAACAGCCAUCAGGAAACUUUGAAAAAAAUAAAAGUUUAGCUUACAAGACCUGUAACUGACAACGCAUAGUUAGGACCAUGCAGCAAAGUUUUGGGUAGAGAGAGAGAGCAUGUAUGGGCCUGGUAUUCUGCUUUGCAUGGGCUUAGGGUUCCCCAGGCUCACUCUUUUUUGGUGAAUUUAAAACAGAAGAGUAGGCCAUGUCUAUGUCUUCCUCUGUGAGAUUUCUGUUCAUGUCUUUUGCCCAUUUCAUGAUCGGAUUGUUUGUUUCUUUGAGUUUAAUAA
Long non-coding RNA from Canis lupus familiaris (dog), 5307 nucleotides. RefSeq lists it as uncharacterized. The transcript is spliced from 3 exons. The record is from RefSeq and is a predicted model, not a curated record. NCBI's taxonomy places the organism in Eukaryota, Metazoa, Chordata, Mammalia, Carnivora, Canidae.